RNAcentral lists this ribosomal RNA (478 nucleotides) under uncultured Flavobacteriaceae bacterium. RNAcentral describes it as "bacterial SSU rRNA". It matches the Rfam family "Bacterial small subunit ribosomal RNA", at positions 28 to 505 of the family's 1533-position model. Lineage: Bacteria; Pseudomonadati; Bacteroidota; Flavobacteriia; Flavobacteriales; Flavobacteriaceae. The record is from RNAcentral.
GAUGAACGCUAGCGGCAGGCUUAACACAUGCAAGUCGAGGGGUAACAGGGUUUUCGGACUGCUGACGACCGGCGCACGGGUGCGUAACGCGUAUACAAUCUACCUUACACUGAGGGAUAGCCCAGAGAAAUUUGGAUUAAUACCUCAUAGUAUUUAUGAUUCACCUGGAUUAUAAAUUAAAGGUUACGGUGUAAGAUGAGUAUGCGUUCUAUUAGCUAGAUGGUAAGGUAACGGCUUACCAUGGCAACGAUAGAUAGGGGUCCUGAGAGGGAGAUCCCCCACACUGGUACUGAGACACGGACCAGACUCCUACGGGAGGCAGCAGUGAGGAAUAUUGGACAAUGGAGGCAACUCUGAUCCAGCCAUGCCGCGUGUAGGAUGACUGCCCUAUGGGUUGUAAACUACUUUUAUAUAGGAAGAAACCAUGCUACGCGUAGCAUAUUGACGGUACUAUAAGAAUAAGGAUCGGCUAACUCCG